RNAcentral lists this ribosomal RNA (398 nucleotides) under Xenophrys sp. 3 SG-2015. RNAcentral's name for it is "partial 16S ribosomal RNA". It matches the Rfam family "Archaeal large subunit ribosomal RNA", at positions 1927 to 2499 of the family's 2987-position model. The record is from RNAcentral. Lineage: Eukaryota; Metazoa; Chordata; Amphibia; Anura; Megophryidae.
UUUGCACACUAUAUUAGGUAAUGCCUGCCCAGUGACCAUAUGUUCAACGGCCGCGGUAUUCUGACCGCGCGAAGGUAGCGUAAUCACUUGUCUUCUAAAUAAAGACUAGUAUGAACGGCCACACGAAGACUUAACUGUCUCCCCUGUCCAAUCAGUGAAACUGAUCUCCUCGUGCAGAAGCGAGGAUAAACACAUAAGACGAGAAGACCCUAUGGAGCUUUAAACUUAAUAUCAACUUCCCUCUUUUACCCCUCUAAGGAGCUGACAAGAUUACUAGACUCGAUAUAAGUUUUAGGUUGGGGCGACCAUGGAGAAAAAAACAACCUCCCUGAUGAUUUUUAACCAAGAGCCACAGCUCUAAGUAUUAGGACUCUUAACUCCCAUUGACCCAUUUUUUU